This 29-nucleotide non-coding RNA is filed under the name Homo sapiens (human). Lineage: Eukaryota; Metazoa; Chordata; Mammalia; Primates; Hominidae. The record is from RNAcentral.
UUGGAUGAUGCAUGCUGGCGUUUUCUAAA